This 460-nucleotide ribosomal RNA is filed under the name uncultured bacterium. RNAcentral's name for it is "partial 16S ribosomal RNA". It matches the Rfam family "Bacterial small subunit ribosomal RNA", at positions 338 to 795 of the family's 1533-position model. The record is from RNAcentral.
CCUACGGGAGGCAGCAGUGAGGAAUAUUGGUCAAUGGCCGGAAGGCUGAACCAGCCAUGCCGCGUGAAGGUCAGUGCCCUAUGGGCGUUAAACUUCUUUUGUGCGGGAGCAAUAAUGGUCACGUGUGGCCAGACGAGAGUACCGUACGAAUAAGCAUCGGCUAACUCCGUGCCAGCAGCCGCGGUAAUACGGGGGAUGCAAGCGGUGUCCGGAUUUAUUGGGUUUAAAGGGUGCGUAGGCUGGGAGGUAAGUCAGCGGUGAAAUGCCCCCGCUCAACGGGGUGAAGUGCCAUUGAUACUGGCUGGCUGGAAUGCGGAUGCCGUGGGAGGAAUGUGUGGUGUAGCGGUGAAAUGCAUAGAUAUCACACAGAACACCGAUUGCGAAGGCAUCUCACGAAUCCGCGAUUGACGCUGAUGCACGAAAGCGUGGGUAUCAAACAGGAUUAGAUACCCGAGUAGUC